This 355-nucleotide unclassified non-coding RNA is filed under the name soil metagenome. RNAcentral describes it as "partial contains 5.8S ribosomal RNA, internal transcribed spacer 2, and large subunit ribosomal RNA". The stretch from base 1 to 120 matches the Rfam family "5.8S ribosomal RNA", at positions 35 to 154 of the family's 154-position model. The record is from RNAcentral.
GAUGAAGAACGUAGCGAAAUGCGAUAAGUAAUGUGAAUUGCAGAAUUCAGUGAAUCAUCGAAUCUUUGAACGCACAUUGCGCCCGCCAGUAUUCUGGCGGGCAUGCCUGUCCGAGCGUCAUUUCAACCCUCGAACCCCUCCGGGGGUCCGGCGUUGGGGAUCGGGAACCCCUAAGACGGGAUCCCGGCCCCGAAAUACAGUGGCGGUCUCGCCGCAGCCUCUCAUGCGCAGUAGUUUGCACAACUCGCACCGGGAGCGCGGCGCGUCCACGUCCGUAAAACACCCAACUUCUGAAAUGUUGACCUCGGAUCAGGUAGGAAUACCCGCUGAACUUAAGCAUAUCAAUAAGCGGAGG